Long non-coding RNA from Lepisosteus oculatus (spotted gar), 4103 nucleotides. The record is from Ensembl. NCBI's taxonomy places the organism in Eukaryota, Metazoa, Chordata, Actinopteri, Semionotiformes, Lepisosteidae.
UGCUGCUGUGGUAGGGAAGUUAAUGGAGGUUACAGAGAGGUGUCGCUAGCCAAAUUAGAUUAGUUGGGAAAGUCCAAGAUUGUGGAGGGGAGUAACUGGUUGUUAGUGAAGAUGGGUUAGGAGUAAAAGCAGAGCUCAGCUGAAGUAAUUAUUUUAGUGAAGAUUACUCCUGGGUUCCAUGGUGCUGCCAAGAAUUGGGUGACAGAGUUAAUUAGGUUGUUAUGUGAUUAGAGUCAUGUGAGAAACUACUUAGGAGGAAGAGGACUGUGUAGUCAUCCCCAAAAAGGGAACAUUGUGGAAGAGCUGGGAUGCUAAAGAGGAUUAUUACGGGGACCAAGAGCGACGGUGAGAUAAGGCGUGGUGUGGGGGAGCUGCUGCGGUGUAGCAGCGAGGGCCUCACUCGAGACCAGGAUCGGCGGCUGCGGUCUCUCCUUGCCAAGAAUGAAGAUUUGUUAACGGCGCGGGAUGAGGACUGCACCCACACAGCUCUCACACAGCACAUGUGCCGCUAUUGCGCCCGGAGGGAGCAACGUGAGGAGGCCGCCCUCAGCGAGGGGGAAGCGAGCGUAGAGGCCACGUCCCUGAGCGGGCCGUUUGAUGUGGCCCUGGCAGAUCUGACGCAGCAGCAGGAGACAGACCCCGACAUUGGGCCGGUACUCUGCUGGAAGGCGGCGGGGACCUGGCCCAUGCAGGAGGAGCUCGCCCCUCAUCCCAAGUCCAUGAAGGUGCUGUGCGCACUGUGUCCAGUUCGGGAAGAGAGGGAGGGUGGUGGUCCUGCACCAAGAUUGCCUGGCUCCCUUCAGGGCUCGCGAGGGGGUGCUUGAAUGGGAUCGUGUGGAGGAGUCCGGUCCAGAUUUCACCGGGCCGUGGGGGGCUGUUGGGGAGGACUGCCAGACUCCACCUCCAUGCAGCGGGUGAACUCGCCGAGUGCUGAGCAUGCUGCAGGAUUGUGUACUGGAUGUAGGCAGGCUAUUCGAAGUCAGAGGGACGCCAGAGGUCUCAGGUGGGGGAAGUGUAGCGCAUUCGCCUGGCGCUGUGGCCGAGGAGCGCCCGGCUGUGGUACGCAGCAAGGGGCAGUACGGGAGUAGUAGUUGUCAGGGCGGGGACUAGGAAAGCCGCUGACCAGUGCAUCUGACCCACUGUAAAAUGGACGUAGUUUGGUGAUAUCACGGAUUCUUGUAAAUAGUUCCCUGGUUUAGGACCCCUCUUAUAUCUGAGUCACUGUGUCCGUCCUCGCCAAACCCGAAAAUACUACAUUAUUUUCUUUCAGCUUCUUUUUUAUUUCUUUGUAUAGCCAUUUCUGAAGAACAAUCGGGUGCAUAAUCAUGAUCCAAAUAUACUCUUUUGUUUUCAUAGAACGGCUCCUUUUCUCCCCAGGCUUUCAUUAAAACCUCUUCCUUGGUUCUAAAUCUUAGAAACCUGAUGACAAUAGAUCUUGGUCUGGACUCAGGGUUCACUGGUUUGGGGGCCAGAGCUCUGUGAACUCUUUCAAUCUCUAGAUCGAUCUCAGAGGGGAAUUCAAGUUGUUCUCUAAUAAACGUUUCAAUGAACUUGGUUAUUGACCCUCCUUCGCUCUCCUCUGGAAUUCCGUAGAUCCUCAGAUUCUGUUUCCUCGACCUGCCCUCCAAAUCCAUUAUUUUGGCCUCUAACUGCUUCUGUUUCUGCAGCAGGUGUAAAAGCACACCAUAUGUUUUUUUUACCCUACUCCUCUGUUAAUUAAUUCAUUCCUCCAUUUUGUUUAUCCUUUCAAUCUUCCUGUUUAUUUCUUCAGUAUGGUCCAUUAGUAUUUUGUUAAUAUCCCUUCUGAAAUCUUUCAGUUCGAUAAAGAUUUUUUCGGACUGGCUCCUUGCACCCCACUGGGUGAGGGGAGGACUAUUUCGGUCUCCCCGUUCCUUUUCAGAAUCCUUUGUUGGGUAGUUUUGGUGUUUUUACGUCCUCUUCCUCGUUUUUCCAUUGUCACCUAACACUUAGUGUUUGUUUUAAAUUAUGAUUUUGACAAGAUUGUUUUUUUUUUAAAACAACCAAGACAGUGAAAGUCCAAUACGCCCAGAGGGCGAGGGGUAAGUGGCGGUCCCAAUCCCACUGGUGCCGCGAGACCAGGGUGGCCAGUUGAGUGGAGAGCAUCCAGUUAAAACGCUCCACCAACCCUUUGCUCUGGAGAUGCAGAAGGGUGGUCCACGUUUUCUUAAUCCCCAGGCGCUGGCACACCCCCACGAACACCCAGGACUCAAAAUUCCACCCCUGGUUGCUGUGGAGCUCCUCCACCACCUCCAGCCUAACAAACAAUCCCUCCAGCAGAGUGUUGGAUACAGUGGACGUGCUCUGAUCUGGGAGGAUGUAGGCCUCAGGCCACUUCCCAAAAUAAUCCAUUGCCUCGCCACCAGGACAUAGCAGCUGCCAGCCUCGGUGCAUGGAAACAGGCCCAGCAUGUCCACCCCCACCCGCUCCAUGGACGCCCCCACCUGACGUUAUUGGAGGGGUGCCCAUGAGAGCCUGGGAGGACCCUUCUGGACCACGCAAACCAUGCACGUCUGGCAGAACUGCUCCAUGUCCCAGUGAGUCCCCAGUAGAAGUGGUCCUGGAGUCACUGCAGGGUUUUCGUGGAGCCAAAGUGCCCCAUGCCCAGCUGGCCAUGCACCACUUGGAGAACUGCCCCGCAGAGCGACCGCGGCACCACAAGCUGCCACCUGACCUCGCCGCUGGAGGGUACCCGCCACUCCUGGCGCAGCACCUCGUCCCUCACCUCCAAGGCCUCCCACAGUGCGCACAGCACCUUCAUGGACUCGGGGUGAGGGGCGAGCUCCUCCCGCGUGAGGUGGGUCCUUGCCGCCUUCCAGCGGAGCACCGGCCCGAUGUCGGGGUCUGCCCCGACCUGCUGCGCCAGGUCUGCUAGGCCCACACCAAACAGCCUGCUCAGGGACGUGGCCGCGACGCUCGCUUCCCCUUCACAUAAACUAUUCAGGUAGUUACACAGGGUAGUUACAAUUGGGUACAAGUAUAACAGGGGUCGUAAACCAGGGAACUAUUUACAAGAAUCAGAGCGAUCUCACCAGACUGUACUGUGCUGCAAUAUAAAGAUAUAGUUAAAAUAUUUCCCUUUGUAGUAGUGCUUAAGGGCAAAGAGUCACUAUUAGGAGAUGUGGCCAGUGAAGCCAUGGAACUAGUGAAACGUGUCUUUGUGGUAGCACAAAAUGAUACUGACCUGGCAGAGGCAGCUUGUAGAGCUGAAUAUUGGAAUCAGAAAUUACCAGGAAUACUUGAAGGUGUCUUACCUUUUUCAUAUCGUAUAAGACUGAAAGAUUCUGCUUGUCAAGUAGUUCACUCUCCACGUCGUGUUCCAGUACCCAUAAGAAUGGAGCUGUGUAAGGAGCUGGAUAAAAUGGAAGCUCUGAAGGUGAUUUAAAGAAUUGAGGAACCUACAUAAUGGGUCAACUCAAUGGUCUGUGUGAAGAAAAUUAAUGGUGCUUUGCACAUCUGCAUGGAUCCAAAAGACCUCAAUGAGUGCAUAGUGAGGGAACACUUUCAAAUUCCGAAUUCGGCAGUGAAAGGCAGUGAUAAAAGAAAGACAGUGCCUUUCUUUCUCACGAAGAGGUGUUGCCAUACCACACGGUGAUCCCGUUGGUGAGGACGCUCUCGAUGGUGCAGCGGUAGAAGUUCACCAACACAUGUAUUGGCAUCCCCCAUCGCUUGAGGCACCUCAAGAAAUAAAGGCGCUGCUGAGCCUUCUUCAUGAUAGAGUCAGUCAUCUUUAGAGAUGUGAAUUCCCAAAAACCUAAAGCUGGUGACUGUUUCCACUUCCGUUCCAUCAAUACUGAGUGGGCUGUGAGCGUAUGGUCUGUGUCUCCGAAAGUCCACUAUUAGCUCUUUCGUUUUCUUUAUGUUCAAGUCCAGGUUAUUGCUAUGACACCACCUAAGCAGCUGUACAACUUCAUCCUAGUUUCUAUUACAACAAUAAUGACAGCAAAAUGCAACAUCAAAAGGUUUCCAAAAUAACCACAAGUGAACAAGUUAAAGAAUUUUAACUUGCAGAUAACAAUGCAGAUGUUUACGAAGAAAUUGGAAUAUGCUACCAUUACCAGCUACUGUAUAGAAUUAUUAUAUUU